RNAcentral lists this ribosomal RNA (119 nucleotides) under Pteropus alecto (black flying fox). Lineage: Eukaryota; Metazoa; Chordata; Mammalia; Chiroptera; Pteropodidae. The record is from RNAcentral.
GUCUAUGGCCAUGCCACCCUGAAUGUGCCCAAUCUCAUCUGAUCUCGGAAGCUAAGCAGGGUCGGGCCUGGUUAGUACUUGGAUGGGAGACCACUUAGGAAGUUAAAGUGCUAGAGGCG